AUGAACGCUAGCGGCAGGCUUAAUACAUGCAAGUCGAGGGGCAUCAAGGUACACGAAAGUGUAUUGUUGGCGACCGGCGGACGGGUGAGUAAUAGGUAGGUAACCUACCUCAUACUGAGGCAUAGCUGGGAGAAAUUCCAGGUAAUUCCUCAUGAGGUUAUAUGACACAUGUGAUAUAAUCAAAGGUAUCGCAAGGUACUGGUAUGAGAUGGGCUUACUGACCAUUAGCUAGUUGGUGAGAUAAGAGCUCACCAAGGCGAAGAUGGUUAGGGGUUUUGAGAGAGAGAUCCCCCACAUUGGAACUGAGAUACGGUCCAGACUCCUACGGGAGGCAGCAGUAGGGAAUAUUGGGCAAUGGGCGGAAGCCUGACCCAGCCAUGCCGCGUGCAGGAUGAAGGCCCUAUGGGUUGUAAACUGCUUUUAGCCGGGAAUAAACACCCGUUUUAUAACGGGCCCGAAGGUACCGGCUGAAUAAGCAUCGGCUAACUCCGUG
Molecule: ribosomal RNA, 493 nt
Filed under: uncultured bacterium
Lineage: Bacteria
Description: bacterial SSU rRNA
Rfam family: Bacterial small subunit ribosomal RNA
Source: RNAcentral